AACAUCGCGCACCUGCGGGAACCUGCGGAAGGAUCAUUAAAAAGAUCGACGUAUAUGGACGAUCAAAAAAAAUCCAUAUCCACCUUGUGUGCACUCACUGACCGUUCGCUUUGGCAGGAGGGAGUCUUGGAUGAUUUUUAUUUUCCAAGCGGGGGGGAGGAAGGGAAAAGACAACAUUCUCUUUCUCCCUCGGCCUGCCAGAGUUUUUAAAAUCAACCCUUUAUUCUUCUUUUUGGACUG
Molecule: unclassified non-coding RNA, 240 nt
Filed under: soil metagenome
Description: partial contains 5.8S ribosomal RNA, internal transcribed spacer 2, and large subunit ribosomal RNA
Source: RNAcentral